UUAUACCUGCCAUAUUCUUACAUAGAUAGACUCGACUUGUGUUUCUCCAACUUGUUCUAUUCCACUAAAAUCACAGGAUAAACGAUAACAAACCGAGUAACACACCGAGUACUCUAUUAGAAAAUAAACGAUGCAUUAUGACGAACCAUGUGUUCCAUCUACUAGCGAGAUUUCGGUUAGAUCAAGUUGCGCGUCCGCCAUAUUGAAAUCCUGCUUCCGUGUAACGUAUCGGUUGUUUUGCACGUUCCUCGAUUAAAAUUAUCCCAAAAAUCGACUCUAAAGAUUAUUUCACUGUAACCUAUCUAAUAAAUAGUACGACUAUUUAGUAACAUAUUCGGAGAGGUAAAAUAGAAGGUAUCGAUUCACCAGUUAUAAUUAAAUAGGUUAUUUGUCGUAUAAAUCUCUACUAACAUUGAUAAUCUAAAACGUUUUACAAUCAUUCUUUAAGUUGCUUCGAUUAUCGAUGGAUCAAAGUAUUCUAAAAAAAGAAUAUCCUAAAUAAGACAAUCUUUUCUUAACAUUUAUACGAUUAAUCUGUAAGUUCUCCUUCGUUACUUAACAAUUAAAUUCUAUUGUAGCAAUAGAAGUGAAAUUCAAACGUUUAACAUGUUUCUCCAACUAGUCUUUAUGAUUGUACCAAUGAUUAUAAUAAAAAAAUUACAUUUAAACGUAUUUAUGCUCAACGAGCUGUAUUACGAGCUGUUACAUUUUAUCUUAUACCUUGUCAGACCACUUUAACGAACAUACCUGUAGAUACACACUCGAUGAAACGCCGAAUGGAACAAUUUCUGAAAUUUCUUUUCUUUGCUGUCCAUUUCUCGAGUAUCGUUUCAAAUCAAUUUCGUGUAGAAUCGCUCGUUAUAUGCAUUAUGUACAUUGAUGCACACGUCCAUCUGGUGGCAAUGCACUGUACUACCGGCUGCUGGCUCGGAGCGGAGCAUAGAAAGAGAAAAAGAGAGAAAGAGAGACACAGGUACGAGACGAGCUUGUGGUGUGAGGUAGCCACCAGUCAACAGCGGAGACGGAGACGGAGAGUCCGAGGUAGCCCGUGCCUGUAGCUGCCCGUGGCUCGUUGUAACGUGACGCGAAGGUGUGCCAAGCUCUUUCGCUUGCCUGUUACUUCGUCCGAAGACGCCCGAUCGUACGUCUACCAUAGUGUCGCGUAUCGAAAGUGUCGGUAGUAGUGUUGUGAUCUAUUGGCCUGUCUGUCCUUGUGUGCUAGCCGAAAAAACUAUACCAGCCGAGCCGUACAUCAUCGCGGAAAACUGUCAAGAGUGUCGUGUGAUCUCAGACGCUGGCUUCAAACGCGAACGCUUACGGGUAAUCUUCAUCGCGAUCGUGGGGUUGCACGAAACAUAAGGCACGCAGGCACGCAGGCACGCAGUCACGCAGGCACGCAGGCACCGGUCGUUCUUCGAUGUGCGAACGCACGCUAACGUGAUUAAUAGACGCCGAGUGAGAGAAAAUAGAAAUUAUCUGGAAGUAGCAACAGAGGCUGGUUGCUCGAGAAGGCAGAAAAGUUGUUCCCAAAAUGCCGCAGGAUUUCACGACCGUCCGAAGACUGCGAGUCACGUCACGAGCGUGUGACGAAUUAACUAGCUGAGGAUGUCGGAGCAAAACGGGCCCAGCGAGGGCCCUGGACCGGGCCCAGGGCCGGGUCCUGGUUGGUGGCCAACCUCACAGACCUGGAAGACGAACUCCUGCACCGCUGCCUCCUCGUCCACUUGUUCAACCGUUCCAGACAACUCCGCCUCCGUCUCUGCCUCUUGCACCACCUCUACGUCCUCCUUGGCGACCACCACAUCGGCCACCUCAUCGACCAGCUGCUGUUCCUCCACCCCUGGCGGUGGACCGUCCUGCACGAUCACCGCGGCCCGCUCCUCCGAAACGGGAAAGAACGUUUCUGUCACGACGAUCAAUGUACCCCCUAAUCAGGACAUGCACGAUGGCAAGGGUAUAUGCAAGUAUCUUGGCGGCCAGAAUGGCGUGACAGUAUCGGUAGUGUCAAGCUGUGGCUCGAUAUUGGGAUGUGGAAGCGCGAAUGUUGUGUCUACCACGGGGAUAGGCAGUAGCACCGGCACACAGAGUAUUGGCAUCGGAGUGAACAUCCUUGACCAGAGCACGGCGGAUGAUGACGCGGAGGAUAGCGACGUUGAGAUAAGCAAAAUCGACUUCCGAGGGGUGAAUUUGCGUACGAAGAAGAAGCGAGACGUGUCUGGUAGUCAGAGUCAAAGCGGGGAGAAAAUCGGCGAUGGAGAGGUCGAGGAUGGAAACGGUUGUUACGAUGGAAGCGACGCGUCUCAGCAACAACCGGAGAGGCCCAUGUCAUGGGAGGGAGAGCUAUCCGAUCAAGAAAUGUCUUCCAAUACGAUUACAAAUCAAGAUACACACGAGGACACGUCAAUGGAGGGUGUUCAAGUAUGUGGCGCGAGUCCCGGGCCAAUGGAACAAAAAUUUCCCAUAAAACCAGAGCCAGAUUUUCAGUCCAACCCAGGUUUCACAUUUGGCUCUUUUCACGACACCGGAUUACCUCUGAAUCACGGCCAGCAAAUACAACAACAGCAACAACAGCGCAACAUUGAGAAUCUUGAACAGACACAACAAAACGAUUUGCCUCUUCUCGUAGGAAAAUUACUUGGUGGUUACAAUAGUUCGACUCCGAAUCACAGUCCGGUGUUGAAUCCUAGACACCAUUUAACAAAGCAUAGCCACACGAGAUCGCAGGUGCCGUCACCGGACUCGGCCAUUCAUUCCGCAUACAGCGUAUUCAGCUCCCCGACGCAAAGUCCUCACGCAACUCGUCACUCUCCCCUGGGCGCGGCAAGUCCAGUUCCAUCUUCGUCGCUAUCCUUGUCGCGACACAGUUUCAACAAUUCCACUUCCUCGUUGUCGCUCUCGUUGUCACACUCCCUCUCGAGAAACAAUUCGGACGCCUCGAGCAGCUGCUACAGCUACGGCUCUCUCAGCCCACCCACACACUCGCCCGUCCAGCAACCGAGACAUCCGCAGCAUCAUCAGCAUCAAGUUGCUCAAGGAAGCCCGCUUCAUCUGCCAGCAACCGCUUCUCCCGCCAUUACUCAUCACUACACUUCCUCUGCACCGGGUUCUGAGCUAUCUCCAGAAGGACACGCUGCUACGGACGAUCAGGAGGACUGUAGAAUACCCUCGGCACCGUCUGGUAUAUCCACGAGGCAGCAACUAAUAAAUACCCCGUGUCCAAUUUGCGGCGACAAGAUCAGUGGUUUUCAUUAUGGAAUAUUCUCGUGCGAGUCGUGCAAGGGAUUUUUCAAACGCACCGUCCAGAAUCGAAAGAAUUAUGUGUGCCUUAGAGGCGCGGGCUGUCCAGUCACCGUUGUUACCAGGAAAAAAUGCCCCGCCUGCAGAUUCGACAAGUGCCUCAGUAUGGGUAUGAAGCUCGAGGCGAUUAGAGAGGAUCGCACCAGGGGUGGCAGAAGUACCUAUCAGUGUACAUAUACUUUUCCGCCAAAUUUUGUCGGUAGUCCUGCAAGUAACAUGUCCAGCGACAAAUUAGCUACCGGAGGAAAUUGUAGUCCAGCUCCAGCUGGUAACGAACAUCACUAUCCGGCAAGGCACCAUUCGAAUCACUCCCAUAAGAUGCAAGUGGUACCGCAACUUUUACAGGAUAUCAUGGACGUAGAGCACUUGUGGCAUUACAAUGAUAACGAUCGUAUGACCGGGAUUCAAAACGCAGGAACGAAUCUUACUAGAAACAACGAUUCAAUGUUAUUGAGUGUUAGAAGCAACGGAGGAUCUGGAAUAGAGAACGACACAGGUUCAGGUAUUGAGUGUUCCUCCAAUAGAACUACAGGAAAUGGCAAUCCUAGUAAUAGAAGAGAAAACAGAUCAUGCUCCAAUGUUUCUAACGUUGGUAACGAACAACACGCUGCAUCCGUUGGUAGCAGUUCUCAAAUCAACAAUACGAAUUGUAAUCCGACUCAACAUCCUGAUUUUUUGUCGAACCUCUGCAAUAUCGCUGAUCAUCGACUCUACAAAAUAGUGAAGUGGUGCAAAAGUUUGCCGUUAUUUAAAAACAUUUCGAUCGAUGAUCAGAUCUGUCUGUUGAUUAAUUCUUGGUGCGAGCUACUGCUUUUCUCAUGCUGCUUUCGCAGUAUGAGCACUCCCGGUGAAAUUAGAGUGUCUCUCGGUAAGUCGAUUACACUGGAACAAGCUAGGCAGCUUGGCUUAGCGACCUGCAUCGAGAGGAUGCUUGCAUUUACUAACAAUUUGAGAAGGCUCCGAGUAGAUCAGUACGAAUACGUGGCGAUGAAGGUAAUAGUACUGUUGACCUCUGAUACGAGUGAACUGAAAGAACCUGAAAAAGUUAGAGCAUCUCAGGAAAAGGCUUUACAAGCGUUGCAACAAUAUACUAUCGCAAGGUACCCAGAAAUGCCUGCUAAGUUUGGCGAAUUAUUAUUGAGAAUUCCAGAUUUACAAAGAACAUGCCAGGCAGGAAAGGAAUUAUUAAGCGCUAAACGUGCUGAAGGAGAAGGCAGCUCGUUUAAUCUGUUGAUGGAAUUGUUGAGAGGAGAUCACUGAAUUAUUAUUACCACAUUGAACAAUGCCAAAUUAUUAGGGAUAUAGAUCUAUUUACAAUGGAUUAAACAGGAAACGAUGGUUAUUUAACUUGAACUAAAUACACUAAUAUGAUAUAACUAAGACGACUAAAUGGGUAAUUCACAACUCACAAUUAAUAGCUUACAACUCGUAACAACUCGGCAACUCCUCGACUCUUCACAACUCGACUCUCGACUCACGACUCUCCAACUCGACUCUUCACCACUCGAUUCUCCAGAUUCCACGCUUAUGAGGUCCAUAAGUUCAGGGAAUCGGAUGUAUUAAAUAAUGAAGGAGUAGCGGAGAUGUAAACAAAACCAUAAGCAUCGCAGUCCACGAUACAUUAGUUCUGGGUGAAGGGACUACAUUCUUGUAAGACUAAUUAGAGGUUCACCGUUUAAUGCAUAAAGCGAAUGAGAAAUGAUGUUUCGUUUCUCUAUAUUUUUUUGUUUUUGUUCUUUUUUUUUUUAAAUUGAAAUUACUUUCACGGGGAUGUUGCAUAAUACAACUCCACCUUGAAACAUAACGAAUUUCGAAGCGGCCUAUGGUAUGCUCGAAAUAUUCAGCAUGCAUAUUUCUAUGCAAAAGAGACUGAAAGUAUAAUUGAAGCAGAGAUGCAGAGCAUUUACUUUUACAAUAAUAUCGAUGUACAGAGAUAGAAAGAUAGAGAUAGAGAGAUAGAGAGAUAGAGAGAUAGAGAGAGAGAGAGAGAGGGAAAGGAAGAGUGAAAGAGAGAGUGAAAGAGAGCACGAGAGAGAGAGAGAGAGAGAGAGAGAGAGAGAGAGUGAGUGAGUGAGAGUGAGAAUUGGUAUCAAAUAGCAUAAAAAUGCUAAAUUUUAUUAGGUAGGUUCAAGUAAACGACGAAUACAGAGUUUUAACCUUGAUAAUUAUUAUUACUAUUAUUAUUAUAGUAAAACAACCAGUAUUUUGUAUUGUUCUGCGCUUACUUAAAAAUAAGACAUAGAAUGAUGUCUUAUGUCCCGGUAAUGGAAGUGUACUUAAAACAUGAGUCGACCAAUUGUUUACUUAUAGAGCAGUUAAUCGUGUAAUAAUUAAUAGGUAAUAACAUUUAGCUUAUCAACAGAACAUUAUAAUUUUUAUCUAUUACACAAAUACAUUUUUUUUUUUUUUUAUUCUCUGUACGUUUUAAUAACACACCGGAUGAAAGACGUACGUACGAUUUCGUACGAUAGCUCGAUACGUACAUAUCUUUUUAAACCGCGCGAAACGAUUUCUGAUAUUCUUUUUCUUGUAAAUGAAUUUUAUUUUGAGACGCACGCGUUUCCAAAUUCUAUGUUACAUUCAGUGAAAUUUUUGUCGGAUUUUUAUAAAAAUGACGUUUGUUUGUUAUUAAAAUUUUACGAUUAUUUUAUUGUUUAUAAACUAAGACAGUUUACGUUUGGUUUAUUAUGUUUAUGUAAAAAAUAUAUAUCCUUUGUCGUAAUGAAACUAGAAUGUUAGUACCAGUGAUUAAGGAUUUUUAUAAAAAAUGAAUAUUAUGAAAAUUAUAUUCGCGAUAUUUGGAAAGUUCAAUUAUAUUCGUCGAAAGUUACAUUAUCGAAUGUUAAUUAGGAAAAGUUAAUUUGUUAUUCGUUUAAUAUCAUUGUUGAAGAAAAAAUAUGAAAUGAAAAUUAUUAAAUUAUUAUGAAAGUUAUAAAAGUAUAAUGAAAAAUUGCGCUUUUCUGUUGUAAACUGAUGCAAUUUCUUAUUUUGAGUAAAUGUAGAAAUUUUUUUAUAAAAAAUUAGUCGUAAAAUGGACGAGCUGGAGCUUCCUAUUUAAAAUGAAGAAUACUCAUCUCUAUCGUUGGUACUAUAACGAGACUGUCAUAUCAACGCAUUAUUUUAUUAACACGACAAUUAUGUUUCUUUUCUUUAUGAUUCAUCGAUAAGAAUAUUACAACAUGCAAUAUUUAAUCUGUAAUGUAACUUGUAAGAAUCGUCUUCCCAUCUUUAUAACGGAUUUCCUUGUGCAGAGAGUGUAGGUUGACCUGUUCUAUAUACAGAGUGUUCAAUAAAUAUGAUAAAAGACAUCAUUUUGAUUUCAAUCGUACUAUCACGAUACAGCUGAUACAAGUUUGCUUUUAAUAUAAUAUACAGAUAUUUAAUGAAAUAAGCCUCGUAUUUAUCAAUUUUAAUGAAACACUCUGUGUAAACAUACAUAUUGCGCGCAUCGUGAAACAUUUUGUUAGUAAAAAAAAGUCUAGUUUCCUCGUCGAAUAUCAAAUUCUUAUUGUGCUUCUCGUUGAAAAAAUAUUCGCUUGUUAGUCAUCUAACGCGUUACGUCCUCUUCAGGUUCCAAUACCGUAUAAUUUUUCGCAAUAAGAUUUUCUUCCCUGUAGAGGCCAACUUCUCUAUUUCCAAGGAAUCUUUUUAAAUAGUUCUCACUUAGUUUGAAUUUGAAUAACAAAGAAGAUUAAAGAAAAACUUUUAGCCAUAAAUAUAUCAAUGAUGAUACAACUUAUCUGAAUCUAGUAGUAACCUAGUGAGAAAAUAAUUCCUGCAAACAUUGUUUUGCUAUAAUUAGUUAUUGCCAUUGUAAUUAUUCGAAAGAAAGGAAAAGCUAUAUUGUGGCGAAAAAUACAGAGUAUUUUUUAAAUUACGCAGUAAAGAAUGUGUACGGCAUUCAGGUUACAAUUUUUAAUAACGAACUAUGUGUAUAAAUAGAAAUUCGCCCGUUAAAAAAAAAGUAUUAUUAGUACAUUAGUUAGUGAAAUACUAUGAAAAAGAUUACUGAAAUAUUUGUGCCUUCGAUAAAAUUUAGUAUUUUAAUCGUUUCGUAAUUACUGCGAGGUAGACACGAGAAGAAUUAUAUUAAGAACAUCGUGUAGAGAUAAUAUAAUUAUAUAAAACCAACGACCGACAGUCUGAUUAAAAUUAUUAGUCAAUGAAGCAUUCUUUAACGAUUAUCUUUAAUGAUUAUCGAACUUUCGAUAAGCUUAUUUCUCUGUUUCAAAGAAACUGUAAACCAUCCAAAUGCUUCUCUAACAUCCGUCUUUGAUUCGAUAUUGAAAAUUUCCUCUAUUUCAUUUUAUCGAUCGAUACCGAGCGAAAUCGAAAAAAUAUAACUAUAUCGUGUAUCUUGGCGUACAUUACAUUUUACAUCUACCAUAUAAUUAAACUAUCUUUUAAUCAUACAUUGAAUAAAGAGAAAAUCGAUUGGUAGCUAAAACAAUUAUAAUGAUAAAAUUUAACCGAUAAAGUCUUUCACUCUAAAUUAGUUUAUGUCGAUUAUUCUGUAUAUGGUAGAGCUAAAUUUUAAUCAACUAUUUAUAUGAAAGAAUUGAAAUUUAUUUUAGAUCGGAAGUUUUCUACCAAUUACAAGGAAAUAUAAAUUAUAUGACGCUGCUGUAAAUAUAAAAGUACAGAAUAUUAGUUUUCUGUAACGUAUGUAUAAAAGAUAGAGAGGGACAAAGAGAUUGAUGAGUCUGAUAAACGAAUAAAUUUAAACGUAGGAAAAAGGGAAAACAAAGAAAAGUACGUGCACGAGAAAGAAAAUAUCUGUGAAUGCGUAACAUUAAUUUAAUUUAAGCGAAAGUGCACGGAAUAAAAUUAUAAUGACGUUAUAUUUAUAUUUAACUCGUUAAAAAGAUUAAAUCUCGAUUGUGAUCUAAAUUUGAUAAGAAAGAAAAAAAAAAGAAAAAGAAGAAAAAAACAAAGGAAUAUGUGCAGACGUUUAUAGCUUGAUCAACUUUGUUUCAUGUCCACUCAACUAUGACGAAAACUUUAGUUUAAGCACAGUUUUAUUUAAUUGAUCUUCGAUUAAAACUUCAAUAAUAACAAUAAUAUUAAUAAUCGUCUUCCGUUUGCAAACAUAUAUUAUAGUAUUAAUUAUAUAACAACAAUGAUAACAAAAUUGGUCAAAAUUUCUUCCCCAAUCGUGACAAUAUACAUAUACACUGGAAAUAGUCGAAUUCAUUGAUAUACAUCGAUCAAAGAGCUUAAAUACAGUACAUUGUAACGAUUAAUACACAUAUAUGUACAUGUGCGUGUUGAAACUAAAGAAAUCGUAUGCUAGAAAUAACAAAUAUUACUCGCGCAUAGUUUAAUAUGUAAUCUUUAAUAGGAUUGUCAAACGCAGCGGUGAAAAUUUUUAUAUCAGAUGCAAACAUAUUAAUGAACUUUAUAUCAUGCACGAUCAACUGACUUGCAUUUAUUUUUCUUCCUAUACUAUAGUAUUUCGUGUUUUCUUUCUAAUAAUCCUUUUUCUUUUCAUAAGUUUUCAUAAGAACACGUCAUCAUUUCUCUAACACAGGCUGUAAACGACUUUGAUUAUCGACAAAACUAUUUGCUUGUCAAGUCAGUUAAUCGGACAUUGCGAAACCAGAUUGCGAAAAUAUUAUAAUCGCGAAAAUACUUCGUAUUCCCAAUAUAGAAAGAUGGCUAUUUAAACGCAAUUAGAGGAUAAUUUUAUACAUACAACAUGUUCAAUACGAAAUAAAUAAAUUUUUAUAAAGUA
This is an RNA transcript of Bombus terrestris (buff-tailed bumblebee), 9031 nucleotides long. It is a transcript of the gene named nuclear hormone receptor FTZ-F1 beta, with no coding region annotated. The transcript is spliced from 9 exons. Lineage: Eukaryota; Metazoa; Arthropoda; Insecta; Hymenoptera; Apidae. The record is from RefSeq and is a predicted model, not a curated record.